This 76-nucleotide transfer RNA is filed under the name Arthrobacter livingstonensis. RNAcentral describes it as "tRNA-Leu". It matches the Rfam family "tRNA". From Rfam's summary of the family: Transfer RNA (tRNA) molecules are approximately 80 nucleotides in length. Their secondary structure includes four short double-helical elements and three loops (D, anti-codon, and T loops). Further hydrogen bonds mediate the characteristic L-shaped molecular structure. tRNAs have two regions of fundamental functional importance: the anti-codon, which is responsible for specific mRNA codon recognition, and the 3' end, to which the tRNAs corresponding amino acid is attached (by aminoacyl-tRNA synthetases). tRNAs cope with the degeneracy of the genetic code in two manners: having more than one tRNA (with a specific anti-codon) for a particular amino acid; and 'wobble' base-pairing, i.e. permitting non-standard base-pairing at the 3rd anti-codon position. Lineage: Bacteria; Bacillati; Actinomycetota; Actinomycetes; Micrococcales; Micrococcaceae. The record is from RNAcentral.
GCCCCAGUAGCCCAAUGGCAGAGGCAUCAGACUUAAAAUCUGCAAAGUGUCGGUUCGAGUCCGACCUGGGGUACCG